CGCGGCGCCGCCCUCCAGUCCUGAAGAACCCGCGCUGCGCAGAGCCCGCGCCGCCGUCACCUCGGCACCGACACUAAGCAACCCAGCUAGCUUGGCUUGAUCUAGCCCAUUUUUGGCAGGUAGCGCUGCACUAGUCCCACUGGCACAAGAAGCUCCCUUCCCAAAGGACAUGAAGCUAUUGGAGAACUCCAGCUUUGAGGCCAUCAACUCACAGUUGACAGUGGAGACUGGAGAUGCCCAUAUUAUUGGCAGACUGAGCAAGAGCCAGGGUGGUGAGGAUGAAAGUCCUCUAAGUGACAAGUGCAGUCGUAAGACCCUCUUCUAUCUGAUUGCCA
This 335-nucleotide long non-coding RNA is filed under the name Rattus norvegicus (Norway rat). Its description in RNAcentral is "long non-coding RNA NONRATT026054". Lineage: Eukaryota; Metazoa; Chordata; Mammalia; Rodentia; Muridae. The record is from RNAcentral.